ACGAACGCUGGCGGCGUGCUUAACACAUGCAAGUCGCACGGAAAGGCCCUGCUUUUGUGGGGUGCUCGAGUGGCGAACGGGUGAGUAACACGUGAGUAACCUGCCCUUGACUUUGGGAUAACUUCAGGAAACUGGGGCUAAUACCGGAUAGGAGCUCCUGCUGCAUGGUGGGGGUUGGAAAGUUUCGGCGGUUGGGGAUGGACUCGCGGCUUAUCAGCUUGUUGGUGGGGUAGUGGCUUACCAAGGCUUUGACGGGUAGCCGGCCUGAGAGGGUGACCGGCCACAUUGGGACUGAGAUACGGCCCAGACUCCUACGGGAGGCAGCAGUGGGGAAUAUUGCACAAUGGGCGGAAGCCUGAUGCAGCAACGCCGCGUGCUGGAUGACGGCCUUCGGGUUGUAAACCGCUUUCGCCUGUGACGAAGCGUGAGUGACGGUAAUGGGUAAAGAAGCACCGGCUAACUACGUG
RNAcentral lists this ribosomal RNA (467 nucleotides) under uncultured bacterium. RNAcentral describes it as "partial 16S ribosomal RNA". It matches the Rfam family "Bacterial small subunit ribosomal RNA", at positions 29 to 507 of the family's 1533-position model. The record is from RNAcentral.